RNAcentral lists this ribosomal RNA (436 nucleotides) under uncultured bacterium. Its description in RNAcentral is "partial 16S ribosomal RNA". It matches the Rfam family "Bacterial small subunit ribosomal RNA", at positions 29 to 507 of the family's 1533-position model. The record is from RNAcentral.
AACGAACGCUGGCGGCAUGCCUAACACAUGCAAGUCGAACGAGAUCCCCCGGGGUCUAGUGGCUCACGGGUGCGUAACGCGGGGGAAUCUGCCCUUAGGUCCGGAACUACAGUUAGAAAUGACUUCUAAUACCGGAGGAUAAUGUUAAGUCGCAAGAUUUAUCGCCUGAGGAUGAGUGCGCGUAGGAUUCGCUGGUUGGUGUGGUAAAGGCGCACCAAGGGGACGAUCGUUAGCUGGGCUGGGAGGAUGGUCAGCCACACUGGGAGUGAGACACAGCCCAGACUCGGGCGGGAGGGGGGAGUGGGGGAUAUUGAACGACGGACGCAAGACUGAUCCAGCACGGGUGCGUGAGUGAUGAAGGCGGGAGGGAAAUGAAGCUCGUUUAUCCCAGAUGGUGAUGACAGUAUCGGGAGAAUAAGCCCCGGCUAACUUCGUG